RNAcentral lists this ribosomal RNA (475 nucleotides) under uncultured organism. RNAcentral describes it as "partial 16S ribosomal RNA". It matches the Rfam family "Bacterial small subunit ribosomal RNA", at positions 332 to 799 of the family's 1533-position model. The record is from RNAcentral.
UACACUCCUACGGGAGGCAGCAGUGGGGAAUAUUGCACAAUGGGCGCAAGCCUGAUGCAGCCAUGCCGCGUGUAUGAAGAAGGCCUUCGGGUUGUAAGUACUUUCAGCGGGGAGGAAGGCAAUACGGUUAAUAACCGUGUUGAUUGACGUUACCCGCAGAAGAAGCACCGGCUAACUCCGUGCCAGCAGCCGCGGUAAUACGGAGGGUGCAAGCGUUAAUCGGAAUUACUGGGCGUAAAGCGCACGCAGGCGGUCUGUCAAGUCGGAUGUGAAAUCCCCGGGCUCAACCUGGGAACUGCAUUCGAAACUGGCAGGCUUGAGUCUUGUAGAGGGGGGUAGAAUUCCAGGUGUAGCGGUGAAAUGCGUAGAGAUCUGGAGGAAUACCGGUGGCGAAGGCGGCCCCCUGGACAAAGACUGACGCUCAGGUGCGAAAGCGUGGGGAGCAAACAGGAUUAGAAACCCCAGUAGUCCCAUG